CCGAGUUUACAACUCCCAAACCCAAUGUGAACGUUACCAAACUGUUGCCUCGGCGGGAUCUUCUGCCCCGGGUGCGUCGCAGCCCCGGACCAAGGCGCCCGCCGGAGGGCCAACUCCAAAACUCUUUUGUAUACCCCCUCGCGGGUUUUUUAUAUCUGAGCCAUCUCGGCGCCUCUCGUAGGCGUUUCGAAAAUGAAUCA
RNAcentral lists this unclassified non-coding RNA (200 nucleotides) under soil metagenome. Its description in RNAcentral is "partial internal transcribed spacer 1". The record is from RNAcentral.